Molecule: long non-coding RNA, 320 nt
Organism: Gallus gallus (chicken)
Lineage: Eukaryota; Metazoa; Chordata; Aves; Galliformes; Phasianidae
Source: Ensembl
CCCCAGCCAAUUCUGGUGAUCUACAUCCUCAUUUCCCCCCAGUGCCUUAGGAGCCAUCUCUGACUGACUGUCUCCUCCUCCCUUCAGCUCCCCAACCUCUUUUCUCCCUCAUCCAGUCAUGCCCUGCACUGAGACAGGGGAUGAGGAGCAGAAAGCAUCGUCAUCCUGGCAAGGAGCAGGGAAUGGGGGCAUUCCUGCAGCAGUGACAGUGGGAACUCGGUCAUAAAGCAAAAGACAGAGGGAGGAGAGGCUGGUAAUGGAUAAGAGGGAUGCAAGAUCCCGGUGCCCCAGACUCCACAUCAAACCAAUUUCCUGCAGCC